This is a long non-coding RNA of Capsicum annuum, 593 nucleotides long. RefSeq lists it as uncharacterized. Lineage: Eukaryota; Viridiplantae; Streptophyta; Magnoliopsida; Solanales; Solanaceae. The record is from RefSeq and is a predicted model, not a curated record. The transcript is spliced from 2 exons.
AUGGCAAAGAAUGGCAUCCAAAUGUUAGGGGAUUUACUCGAUUGAAGGUUUUGAUAAUUGAAGGUAGUCCUCUCAAGUACUGGAAAGCCACAAAUGACAAUUUUCCUGUCCUUGAGCGCCUUGUGCUAAAAGAAUGCAGAUGUUUGAAAGAGAUACCCAUUGAGUUUGCAGAAAUUCACACACUACAGCUGAUUGAGUUAACAAGGUGUCUUCCCGAACUUGGGGAAUCUGGAGCACGAAUUCAAAAAGAACAAGAAGACCUCGGAAACAACCCCGUGGAUGUUCGUAUCUCCGAUCCAUUGCCUGAUGAAGGAGAAGAAGUUUAUUAUCUUGAUGUUUCAGAAGAGGAUGAUGAAUGUUGAUGUUGCAGAAGAUGAUGAUAAUGAAGAUUCGGAUGCAAAACAUGAUGAUAAUUACGAUCUUAAUUGGUUGUUCGAUGUUCGGAAUAACCUGUAAUGUAAAGGGAAACAAUGGAUUAACAAUUUGAUACUGUUAUAGACUGUUGAUGCUAGUUCAUCACCCUAUGUUUAUUCAUAAAUGUAAAUGUAUUACGUUCUUUGGUUUUAUAGAGUCAAUGAAGCGUGUUGUGUCUA